GAUGAAGAACGUAGCGAAAUGCGAUAAGUAAUGUGAAUUGCAGAAUUCAGUGAAUCAUCGAAUCUUUGAACGCACCUUGUACCCUUUGGCAUUCCGAAGGGUAUGCUCGUUUGAGUGUCAUUGUACUCUCACACUUCCAAUCUUUGGAUUGGGAGCGGUGGACUUGGGUGUUGCUGCUUACUGUGGCUCACCUCAAAUCGAUUCGUGCACCUCUUGGUUGGACAUAGUACGGCGUGAUAAGUGUCUUCGCCGGCACCUCAGUAGAGGGUGGCUGAUCAGGAGCUCUGUGCUUCAAACCGUCCUCGGACAACAACUGACAACUUGACCUCAAAUCGAGUAGGACUACCCGCUGAACUUAAGCAUAUCAAUAAGCGGAGGA
Molecule: unclassified non-coding RNA, 379 nt
Filed under: soil metagenome
Description: partial contains 5.8S ribosomal RNA, internal transcribed spacer 2, and large subunit ribosomal RNA
Rfam family: 5.8S ribosomal RNA (bases 1-120)
Source: RNAcentral